Molecule: long non-coding RNA, 10591 nt
Organism: Pipra filicauda (Wire-tailed manakin)
Lineage: Eukaryota; Metazoa; Chordata; Aves; Passeriformes; Pipridae
Exons: 3
Source: RefSeq, a predicted model, not a curated record
UGAUCCAGAUGGCCAGACUAUUUCUGGUACAAGCCAGGAUGCCAUUGGCCUUUCUGGCCACCUGGGCACACUGCUGGCUCAUGUUCAUCCAUCAGUGUCAUCAGGCAUUGUCCUAACCCUCUCCUCCUCUGCCCCAGUGCUUGAGGUUUCCACAGAGAGCUGCCAGGAGAAAGCCAAGGGGACAAACCAGGAUUUUUAAUCUGCUGAUUACUGGGAUUUACACACAGAUGCAUUUGCAGUGCUUCCCCUCGCCUUCUUGAUCGGAACGGUUUCCAUGGUCUGUCAUUUUAGCGCACAGCAGAACAACCUGGAGCACAUUUUGAUGUUUUAUGUUACCUGGUUUUAUCAUGAAGGAAGAUCAAAAGACACACAAGCACCAUAAAAAAAGCUAGGCGAAGAUACGAGUGCAGAGAACCUGGCAAAAGACUGCCAGAUGAGUGACCCUGGGGAGGCUGAGCUGGCUUCUGGCUGCGUCUGAGAUUCCAGAAUCAAACUGAGCAAGUUACGCACACUGACCACUUAGGAAAGGCAGAUGCAUCACAACUGGAGUUUUAUUUCUGUACUUCUUGUUCAUGUGUAACUGGAAGACUCAUAAUAGCAGGAAUGCUGUUCCCUCAGAUCCCUACUGGAGGAGAUGAUUACUUACGGCAGAGCGUAUGUGAGGAAAGAUGUUGGCUUCCUCUUCACUAGUACUGUCCCCAAUUUGUUACACAGCAUGACAAAUAGAACAACACUUCCAUGAUGUUUAUAUGUUUUAUAACACAAGUUAGCAGUAGAAUCAAGACCAAGUGCCAAGAUAGUUAAUUAAUUCCACUUUCCUGAAUUAACCAUAAGGUUUGAGUUAUGUAUGGCAAUUAUCUCCUUUAAACUGUUAAGCACGCAGAAAGUGGUUAUUGCCCGCUGUCUUUCUACCUCCACCAUGUCAGGGACAGUGAAUCUUGCUGUGUGUGUGCUCGUGUGGUGACACAGUAGUGCCACACACCUUCCUGCUGCUGUUAGAGCCAUGACAAGCUGCUCUGGCUGCCCUGCGGUGCUGGGCUGUGCUCCUGCGUGAAGCUGCCAGCAACUCACUGCCUGAGGAGUUCCCAUUCCAGGAGGUGAGGCAGAAAAGGGUAAGGCACUGGUGUAUCAUCAUCAUGGCUGCAAUAUGGAGGAGGAGAAAAGAUACAGAGAAGUGGUGACAGGUCCAUGGUUGCCCUGAGAAGCUGGAGUCACUGUAAGGAACUGAAUUCCCCAGGGUGGAUUAUGAAGUUGCUCUACAUGAAGUUGCUCUAUACAGAAGGCUUUGAAGAUAAUUAGACAAGAAUGACAGAAACAUCUUGGUAACAGUCUGAACAAUGUAAAUACAAGAUGGUAGAGCACAGGUAGCGAGUACAGAUUGGUAGGAAGAAGAGUUCAUGCUGUCUGUCAGUUAUGGAUGCCCUCUCCCUUCUCGGAACAAGUGUUGCCAUUUUGUUCAGCAUCCUUAAGACCUGUAAAGAAAUAAUGAACAAAGGCAGGCUGGAAGACCCUUCUGACAUCCUGUCUUUUCCAUCUUGUGAAAAGAGUGAUCUUAAAAUGGGGGACUAUCUUGCAGAGGUGGAGUCAGCCAUUGGCUAAAAGUGGAACUUACUCAGCAAAUCUGCUCCCUGUGCUGCAAUCAGGAACAUUUACAUGUCAGUUUUCUGACAAAAGUACAUUUUUUUUUUUUGCUCUGUGUAACCUAAGACAGAGGCAGAAAGUGUGGUUGUUCUAAGAAGAAUCAGGUAAUUUUGGGUCACAUAAGCUGCAUCUCCCUUACUUGGUGGAGCACAAGCCAGAAAGCUGCCUGAAACUAAGUGCACUCAUCUCUGUGUCUGCAGUUCUGGUCCUAAAGUACAGUUCAUGAGCCUAAAGUGUCUUGCUGAAGACACCAGCCUUUUUAGAAGGCUCCUACGCUGACUUGUCUGCAUUGUACUGACCAUGUAAUUUUGCUACAUGGUGAUAAAAGCAUACAAUAAUAACAUCAGUUAACGUGGCCUAUGGGUUGGCAUAUGUUUGAAUGUGGACUAAAGAAUACUAUGGCUCUAAAUCUCUGCUUGUUUGAAAUUCCUGCAUUUUGGGCAUUAGUAUUGAAAUUAUUUGGACAUGAAACAAAUUUGAGCUAAGCAUGUGCUGGGACACAAGCUUGAAAUACACUCUAAAUGUAACCAUGGUGGUGUCCACACCCAUGCAGACUAUAGUGCAAAUCCCAUUACUGAAGCUGCAUAUAGGUGCACACUGAUGUGACCUUCUGCUUUUGUUUAGUUAUGGUGCAAAUACACCAAGUAAAGCAUGCACUUACCCAACAAAAAUACAAACCUUCUAAGGUGCUUCUACAAAAAUGUUUUAUAUUUGUGGUCCUACUGUCAGCAGAAUAGUAGAGGCAAAAGGAUUGUGCUAUUAAGGAGUUACACUGACUAAAGAAAAAAAAAAGCUAAUCUAAAAAGGAAAGAAUAAUAUUGGAUUUGAGAAUUUAUGCUCAGUAUUUUGUAUAGAAAACCUGAUAUUAAAGCUGCAAAGAAUCCUCAUCUGUAUUUCAGGGAUGUAAUCCUGGUUACUUAUAUACAAAAUGCUUGCCUGUCUUGAUUAUUUAGGAUAUAUUUCUUAAUUUCUUUUAGAACAGAACAACACCAAAUUGCUAUAUUCUUACUUCAAGGCAAAACUCACAUGUUUAGCCUAAAUGAAACUAACUUGACUUGAUUUAUCUUUUCGUUAUUUUCUAUGGGACAUAUUGUGUUAUUAAUUUAGGCAGGACACUCCUCAUUGUUUUCACUAGAGAGUCCUGCUUAAAACAUGAACCCACAUUACACUGUCCUAAUGAUGAACUUGGAAUAAGUAUUUGGAUCUGAAGGGAGAGACAAUCUGAUUUUAUAAAUCUAUUAAUUUUUAUGCAGCUUGACUUAAAAAAAAAAACAACAUGGAGAUAAAGUUCAGUUUGAAUUCUGACACUCAGAAUUCAUUUUUCCAAAUGAAGCUCUCUUUCCUGAGAAGUGAGCUUCAUUUUGGAAAAAAAGAAAAAGAAAAAAAGCAAGGAAAAAAAAACCCCUUGAAUUGCAUCCUCCCACGAGGACAUUUAAUUUAAUAAAGCAGCCUCCUCGGGAUUGCUCCACUGUUGCUUAGGCGCCUCAGGGGGAGGAUUCUUCCUCAUGAGGGGGAGGACCUUGGCCAAGCAUGAGGGAGACACUAAGGCUGGGUGUUAGGGAGUGGAUUUGUCCCUGAGGGCAACAUUCCCCUUUCCAAACAGCUGUAUGGAUUUCUAAUGCAAAUUCUGUCUUAAUUAUGUGUGUGAGAGCAUUCAUUUUUAGGUAGGUCAACCAUUUCGCACUCCUCUCUGAAUUCCCCUGGCUAGUUUGCAGGGGAGUUUGCAGAAGUGCCCACCCUAUGUCCUGGUGUAUACCUGCCACCCCCCUCCAUCCUCGCCCCCAGGAUGUAGGAUAAUAACUUGUAAAUGACUUGUUGGCAAGUUUUACAAAGGUAAUCUGAGUUUUGGCUUUAGUGUGCCAGUGUUGGUAAUCUCAGGAAGAACAAGUUAGCCCUUUUGCUUUUCAAGGUGGAGCCAGUGGAGUCCCUUGCCCUGUCUGUAGCUAGGGUCUGGAGUCGUUUAGUUGUCUGCUACCCCAGCACCAGCCACCCACCAGCUCCCAGGGCCAGAGCUGCUCCUCUUUGUCACACUGUGUUGGCAAUUUCGUGUUCCAGCAUCAGUCUCCAAAAUAGAAGCAAAAGACAAAAUCCUCUCUAUGCCCCUAAAGAAGUGAAAAGGUACUUUGUCAGCCUCAACAUGAGCAAGACUGAAAUGAAGCCUCCCCUUGCACUCCCCGCUGCCCACUGCCUUUACAAUAGUGCUAAAGUCUUUCAAAAUGUGAAACAGAUGCCUGCUUUUGGGAAGCUCAAUGUGUACCUGUUGCACACUGCCUUCAACCCAGGAAUGGAUGCUGUCCAGGAAAUGGCAAAGCAGGAUGUAGAGUUUUACAUACACAAAUAAUACACUCUUCUAUCCAGAAGCAAUAUUCUAGGGAUAUAAAAUAAGUUGUUAUUUGUUACUAAAGCAUUUCAGGCCAAACAAACUAAGAAUGGGGCCAGGAAUGAGCAGAUUUGCAACAAAUUUGCAUGGAAGAAAACUCUUAUUAGUUGGUCAGCAUUCUCGUGCAGCAUCUUGAAGGAUGAUUAGAUACUUUCCUAGCUUUGGGAAAUAUUGUGAAGGACUAGUCCUUUAUUGUUGCUUUUUUUGAUUUUUUUUUUUUUUAGGUGGUGGGGUGGAGGGGAGUUGGAAGAACAUAUGGAUGUGUGAUUUUUUUUGUUUAAUCUUUGUUCUUUUGCCUCCCAUGGCAGUCUCUCUGGUUUGUCUUACCUAUUUGAUUGAGUUUUUAAGAGGAAGCCAAGAAGCUGUGAAGGAAAGGACAUUGAAACUCUCUUACAUCCAGCAGCAGGAAUGCAUCUGGCAGCACAUUCAUGCGUUUAAGCCAAAUUUUCUCUGAUUAAAUGUUUUUGGCAAAAAGUCAGAAUUGGUAAAUACAUUGCAUAUUGAGCUCCUUUCCAAAAGUAAAAUGAGAAAGGAGGGGAAAUACUAUCCAGUUCAGAAAAACUCCUUGGUACUAUGUUUUGAUAUCUAGUUAUGUAUAUUUAGCUUAAAACGUGAAAAGUGGUGGUUGCCAGUGGUCACAUAAUCAGACUUUUCAAGAAAAAGUCGGCAAUAACGCCAGAUGGCGCUUAAAGCCCAGAAUAACCGUAAAAAUGCCUUAACCGCAGGGCUUCCAGUGCCACCUAGUGCCGCCACCCGCCCUCCUGCUUCGGGCAAGUAACAUCUCAGGCAAGGAGAGCCGCCAGAAUAGCUAACUUCUGGAGGAGCAAGUUAUGCUCUCUAUGUUCAUCGUGCAACAUAUGCAAUGGUUUGAGAUGGAGAGUGUGUCUGGAGGCAAUACUACCAUCUUUUAAUAUUCUGACUCUAUUCCUGCUCUCCUCCUAAAGCAUCCCACCCUCAUGGACAGUGUACUGGUUUAGGUGCACUUUUUGCUCUUCUCAUGGUAUUUUUGACAGCACUGAAAUUUGCUGUCAAAAAUUAUCGGCGCUAUCAGAAACCAAAACGUGUAAGUAAAAAGAGGCAGACUGUGAAAAAGUAAUUAUGUCGUCUUCAGUAUCCUUUUCACAGUGAUACUUUGUUCACUUACACGCCUCCAACAGAGGUUUUGCAAACAUUAAUGAAUUAUUAUUAUUAUAGCUAUUGCCAUUAUACUUUGUUUACUUCCCUUUAUCCCAUAACAGUGAAGCAAACAGAAGGGAAUUAUUGUAGUCAGUAGUUUUCAAGGAUUCAUUUUAAGCAACAAAUCCUUGGUUCCUUCUACUUUGCUGCUGAGCUUGCAAAUACUUAGUGGCAAUCUCUGUUGUUCAUCACAGGGGAAAAAUUUUAAAGCAAAUGAACAUCAAAGAAGUAGUGAGAGGAGAAGGAUUGUCAGUUUCCACAUUAGACUGUCCUAUGUAAAAAAAAAAAAAAAAAAAAAAAAGAGUUGUUUUAUCUCUGAAUGAAUGGGAUGGGACUUACUCAUCUCUCCACAUCUGCCUGCUUUUACACAGUCCUUCAGCCUGCCUGAGCAUGCAUGUUUUCUGAGUGGGAUAUGUCCUGUCCUGUUAUGUCAGCUCCUUUUCUCCCCCAAAAAAAAAAAAAAAAAAGCCAGCAACAAUGUUCUUUUCUUGUAGAUUUAUGAUUUUCUGAGCAAUGAUUUUCUACAUUUGGCUGCUUCGUUGCACACUGAACACUUGCCAUUGCUAACAGAACGAAAAUCUUCCUAGUAGUUGAAACACGUUAAUUGCAAUUAAUGAAUACAACAAAUGCUUACAGGCAUUGCCUAUUAAGUCACUAUUUUGCAUAGCAACCUGUUGCCUUAUAAUGUUGUUCCCUCAUCUGUGCCAGUUCUCUAUUCCUCCCAUGGAUCACAAUCGUUUACCCACAAACAAUAGGCAAAUAUGGGUGUUGUUAUGUUUUUGGGCAUCUUUCCCCCCUUCAUCUUAGUGUUUGUGGUGUGCUUUGUCUGUAAAGGUCACCUGAGCCACCUAGAGGGCUGAGGGUAAGGAGCCUUCCCUGGGAGAAGGUCAGUGAAGGAGUGAGAAAGAGCCCCCCAGGGCCUCACUGGUUCUCCCUGGGAGACACAAAAGGGACACACGGAGAACUGACAGCAGUCUGAGUUUUGAGUGUAUAACAAAAUGAAGAAGAAAACUUCUAAUUAGCUCAUCUAGAGAAAGCAUGGGGGAAAUAACAGUCUUUCUUGCCAUAUAUUUUUUUAAAACAGAAAUGCUCUAUUUGCUGUAUAAUUAAUACGCAUUUUUUGGCUGUCAGUGUCAUAAGAAAGUGCCAUAUGCAAGUGUCAGGCCCAAGUUUAGGAGAAGACAGUGAUAAACACUGUACUUUUGCUAGCUUCAGUGGAACGAGUUCUCAAAAUUAAAUGCAUGCUAAACAGUCGGGGGGUUAAGCACUUCUGUACUGUGAGAUCUCCGCUUGAGUAUUUUGCUGAGUCGAAGCCUGGGACACAUGUGGACCCCUACUUGCAUGUAAGGCAAGGACACCCAGUAGAGUAGAAGCAUGACUAAGAAUGCAUUCCCUCGAAGACACUUGGAACGGAUACUUGUGCCUGCAGUAAAGAUUGUCUGAUGCUUCCCAGUGAGAAAAUGGGGCAGAGUAAGUGGGAACAGAUGUGGGGAUGGAGAGACAAGCCAGGGAGAACAAGAACAGCAGUUUUCCAGAAAGAAAAUACAUUUUUUUUCUGUGAUUGAACUGUGCUUUCCCAACUUUCAUCUUUCAUUUGCUGUCUAACAAAUAGCUUUGAAUAUACUCAUUAAAGUUCUGUCUCAUCUCCCUCCCGUGGCUGGGCAUAGACAAUAGUCUUCUACUGUGUCACCAAAUGCUCAAGCAGAUUAGGACAAUCGUAGGCUGUGCUAUGGAUCUAAGUUUUUGGGACCUGAUGAUUACUCAUGAAGUUUUCCAGUGCUCUCUCCCUCUUUUUUUUUUCCCUUUAAUGGAAUUGCAUGUAAAAACUACAUUAUUUAGCUUGCAAGUCAAGCACUGCAAAGUAACAAAAUAUCAGAAAUAAGUUGUCUGCAUUACAUUAAUUUGUCUUUUCCGUGUUCAUACCAUUUACGUGAUUUUUUCCCACAGGGUCCUUAACUGCACAGGAUGGGCUGUAUUCUCAGAUUGAAUCAAGCUUCUGUCAGUCUCAUCUCUGGGAAAAUGCAGAGGAUGGACCCAAAGCUACAUUCAGGGCCACUGAAAAGUUGCAGUUUGCUAUAGUAGUUCUGUUAAAAUCCAGCUACAACAGAAAUUAAUAUUUCUGGAAGCAAAAGCAAUCAAAUGCUUGCUGGUUUUCAUCCCCCUCUUUUUGAAACAUAUAAAACAGUGCGAGUUUGCUUAUGCUUUUUGAACAAGGCAGGUGGUGAAUUCCCAAGUGAAUUGUGUGUUGCCUGAACCCUCUGCUGUUUGGUUUGGCUUGUAAUUAAAAUCUUGGGUAAAUUACAUGGAAUAUUUGUGCUGUCUUAUUCCUCUUUGGCUUGAGUAGUCCAAAUGGAUCAAGCAGGAGAAAAGAGAUAGGAGCUUCCUGUCAGAUGAGAGCCGUCAAAGCCUAUGGAGGUUUGACGCUGGUACUUGCUGGUUCUUUGCAGACAGCACAUGAAAAGCAGAGUCCUUGAGGUGUUCCUUUCCAGCAACUGGUUUCAAACCCUCAACAAAAAAGUAUGUGAAAGGUUUAAAUUUUAUUCAUGAUUUUUCUGGACCACUGGAGUCAAGUAGGUUUAAGUAGGUGCUAUUUAAAAUGUCCCAUUUGGUCUUUCCUAAUGAAGAUACCAGAAGAUGUAGUUGUCUCAGAAAGGAUCAAAUGCCAUAACAGAGAUGUUUUUUAGAGAUUCCUUAAUGGAGAUCCAAGUGCCACCUGAGAUUCAUCGGAGAGAGGACUUGCGUGCCUAAAUGUAUGCAUGAGGAGCAUACUCAGGAAGAGUCCAGCAUUGGGACUCUGGGUCUCAAACUUGUGGUAGACUUGCCUUAACUCAUUAGAUUCCUUCUUCUCAAAGAAAGCUGGAUGGAAAAGCGUUGUCAACAUAGCCGAGCUGAUGAUUAAAGCUUUUUGUUUCUGAUGGGUUACUUCUGCAUCGCUGUGUAAGCUAAUGCUGACUUAAGGAUUCAUAUUAAGGACUUUCAAAUAUAUCCUUAGCUUCCAGCCUGAUGCCAUGAGUGAACAGUCCCAGAAGAAAUGAUCUCCCUAGGAGAAAAUGAAGAGAGGGAUGUGAAGAAUAAUUGGUUUUACUGGCUGAGGUAAACCAUAGCUGCAAUAUGCAUGACCUCUAGUGCUUUUUCUGGGGAACGUAGCCAAAAUCUGUUAGACUCAGUUAAUAGUGGAAAUUCUUGUGACAAAGAGAUAUUCUUACAAGUUUGCUAAUCCUUCCCUAUUGUAGAAGUUUGUCUCACCAGAAGAAAUACAUGUUUAAAUUCAUCAGAUGACUUUAAUUUUAAAAGCAUACACUAAGUUAUUGUUUGAGUAGGCAAAUAAGACCCUGGUGUCACUUUGUCUUGUCAUGGAAGGUCUUUGAGGCCUCAUCCACACUCAACAGUAAAUUCACAUUCACCCUCUGGGUGAUCUGGCAUAGAAGAGAGCAGAAGGGGCAGUGCCACUGCUGCCCUGCAACAGCAGAGGAGCUGCUCAAGAUUUCGCUCUACAGCCUUUACUCCUGCUGUAGAGAUAUUCUUGUAAAGCCCUUUUAGAAGCAAAUACAGCUGUUUGUCCUUUUAAAUGCUCUUCUCAAUAAAGGAUGUAACUACAUUCUAGGCAAAAGAUGAGCAAAGAAAAAUUUUUUUUCCAAGACAAAAAUGCUGAAGUGAUAACUGUCUGCUUGAAUAUAGACAUAAUGAAAGGCUGAAGCAGAAGAUAUGUCCUCCUUUUCCCUUUUUGGCAUUGCCCUAGAAACCUUGUUCUUCACUUUAAGUACAAGAGAGCUCCUGAAGAGGGUAGAAUUAAGAUUUAUUUACUCUAGCCCUGUUUUUUGCUGAUAUAGAUUAUAGCAGGAUAUUUAGUUAAUAGGAGGCUAGAAACCAUGGUACAGUGAUGUUUGGCUCAGAGAUAGGCCUCAGUGUCCAUAUAGGGAAAAAAAAAGAUUUUCAUAUUGUGCAUAAACCAUCAACCCAUUACUCCUCUGCUCCUCUCAGAACAUUGGUUUCCUGCUGGUAAUAAAGCACAUCAGAAUAUCUCAUAAAAAAUGUUUUCUUAGUCUUGGUAUCAUAAUUGCUUGUACUGAGUAGCAAUUUCACAGAUAUUUUAGUAUCCUGUCUUGACCUGGCUGUGCUGGAUUCUUUCCCCCCACUAUUACUACAGUUUUUUCUUACUUAUAGAAAGAACAUACACCUUGUCUAUAUGAAAUUGGCAUAUGAGGGAAAACUUGGUAUUUAGAGAGGGAAAACUUGAUCUGAUACAAAAGCAAGUGCACCCAAGAUACUUGCACUUUUAACCUGCUUCAUACAGAAAUGCAUAUUACCAUCAUACUGCCUGUGUGCCUGUAUUUCAGUCCUCUGAAUUCAACUUUUGAAUCUCACAGAAUCAUCACAGUUGAAAGAGACAUUCAAGAUCAUCUAGUCCAACCAUCAAGUUAGCACUCCUAUAACCACCCCUAAACCAUAUCCCCAGAGGCCACCUUGAGAUGCCUCUUGAACACUUUCAGAAAUGGUGACUUCACCACCUCCCUGGGCAACUUAUUCCAAUGCCCAACCACUCUUUCAGUGAAAAUUUUUUUCCUGAUAUCUAAACUGAACCUCCUUUAGUGCCAUCUUCGAAUUUGCUGACUGAUUUCAGUUCAUUUGAUGAAGGAAAGUUAACAAUAAUUUCUUCUGUGUUUAGUGAAAAUUAGUAGCCAAGCAGAGUUGAGGGGUUUGACUCAUUUUUCUGCUGAGGGAAAGACUUCAUUAUGAGCAAAACACUAUUACUGGACAUCAGAAAAUCCUCAUGGGAGAGAAAAGGAGCUGAUAGAUGCCUCAACCUCAGGAAAAGUUUCAAUCAGAGUUUGCAUCUUAUUAGACACAAGAUAAUCCAACCACAAGAGACAAAGCCACAGGAAACUGGACUUCAUUUUCUGUAGCUACUUGUUCUUUAAAUCAGAAUAUUUGGGGUUUUCGUCUCUCUUCACUUCCAGAGGAUUAUUACUGUGCUAUGGUCCUGGUCUUUGAACUUACAACAUCUUUAUUUUUUAACUACAGCUCCUUUUCCAUUAGUUCGUAAUACUUCAUGGAUGUAAAAGUUAAUUGUGUAAAAUGUGGGUAGUAAGUCUGAGUAUUAAAAAUGUAUUUUUGACUUCUGUCUGCUAAUUAACUGUAGAGUUUCAAUUUUUGUAAACAUAGUAACUAAAAGUACUUUUCCAAGGGCUGAUUUAAUUUUCCAAACAAUAAUGUGUGUACAACUUAUUUAUAGUAGAUGCUACGGUUAUGAUUGCAUCAAGACUUCAUGAUAGCUCUCAGCUUACAAUUCCUUGAGGAAAAAACUGUACUUUUGAGUUAAAUUGUCUAUAUUUAUUUAAAGCCCUGAGCAUUAAUUUACUUUUGGGGCAUGAUUAUUGUUUAUUAAAUUAUUUA